This 468-nucleotide ribosomal RNA is filed under the name uncultured bacterium. Its description in RNAcentral is "bacterial SSU rRNA". It matches the Rfam family "Bacterial small subunit ribosomal RNA", at positions 28 to 524 of the family's 1533-position model. The record is from RNAcentral.
GAUGAACGCUGGCGGCGUGCCUAACACAUGCAAGUCGAGCGAUUCUCUUCGGAGAAGAGCGGCGGACGGGUGAGUAACGCGUGGGUAACCUGCCCUGUACACACGGAUAACAUACCGAAAGGUAUGCUAAUACGAGAUAAUAUGCUUUUAUCGCAUGGUAGAAGUAUCAAAGCUCCGGCAGUACAGGAUGGACCCGCGUCUGAUUAGCUAGUUGGUAAGGUAACGGCUUUACCAAGGCGACGAUCAGUAGCCGACCUGAGAGGGUGAUCGGCCACAUUGGAACUGAGACACGGUCCAAACUCCUACGGGAGGCAGCAGUGGGGAAUAUUGCACAAUGGGCGAAAGCCUGAUGCAGCAACGCCGCGUGAGCGAUGAAGGCCUUCGGGUCGUAAAGCUCUGUCCUCAAGAAGAUAAUGACGGUACUUGAGGAGGAAGCCCGGCUAACUACGUGCCAGCAGCCGCGGUAAU